AACGAACGCUGGCGGUAUGCCUAAUACAUGCAAGUCGAACGAGAAAGUUCCUUCGGGAGCGAGUACAGUGGCGCACGGGUGAGUAACGCGUAGGUGACCUACCCAUUAGUGGGGGAUAACAUCGGGAAACCGGUGCUAAUACCGCAUGUGAUGGAUGAAAUUGAAAAAGUUCAUCAAAGAUGGCCUCUCCUUGGAAGCCGUCGCUAGUGGAAGGGCCUGCGUAGCAUUAGCUUGUUGGCGGGGUAAUGGCCUACCAAGGCGAUGAUGUUUAACUGGUCUGAGAGGAUGAUCAGUCACACUGGAACUGAGACACGGUCCAG
RNAcentral lists this ribosomal RNA (320 nucleotides) under uncultured bacterium. Its description in RNAcentral is "bacterial SSU rRNA". It matches the Rfam family "Bacterial small subunit ribosomal RNA", at positions 29 to 334 of the family's 1533-position model. The record is from RNAcentral.